Phyllopteryx taeniolatus (common seadragon) is the source of this 1111-nucleotide long non-coding RNA. RefSeq lists it as uncharacterized. The transcript has 3 exons. Lineage: Eukaryota; Metazoa; Chordata; Actinopteri; Syngnathiformes; Syngnathidae. The record is from RefSeq and is a predicted model, not a curated record.
ACGGAAGCCAGCGUGAACUUUAGCCAGCAUCUUUCAUUUCAUUCACGCUGGAUGACACACUCCCUCACUCACAAAGACCCCGUGAAGAAACUUCCAGACCACCGCUGCGAACACACAAAGACCGAAACUGGCAAUGGUGACGUGGGAACAAGCUUCAGUCGCUAAAACAGCUGAGUCAGCCGUUGCCAGAUAGUAGUGCCUCCGGAGUGUCUGCUCACCCAUCAGGUGUGGAAUUAAACAACCACAUCAACCUUCAAGCUGACUACGCCGCCUGAAACACGACUGAAACCACCACAUCCCACUCAGGUGCUACGUCCCUGCUAUCACGUCAAAGCCAAAAAACUACUUAAUGCGUCAAGCUUUAGCGGGUUGUUCAAAUAAUCAAAGUGUCACCUGGAGACGGCGAUGAUGGAGGAGUUGAGGCCGCCGUAGCAGGAAAUGGCCACAGACAGCGGAAUCAGCCAGCGUGCCCAGCCCAGAACUUCGUCUGCAAACGUCUGAGGAGAACAUUAACGUCAUUUCUUUUUAUUAACAUGUCAACAUUGCGGAAUCAAAACAAAGAUCAACAGUCGGCCAUAUGCAAACAAUUACAGGCCACUAAUCACAUGGUCAGAGACGCUAAACUCGUUAGGUCGACAGACUUCCCGCUCGCAAUCAAAGCAGAUGCUCUCGCAGCCAGACGGACAGGAAAUCAAGUGCGCCGGCCAUAACAUUAGGUACACCUGCACUCUCUAAUGACAUCUAAUCCAAGACAAAGAGUCUCAAGUUCAGUUUCGCUUGAUUGUGCAGAAACUUUUUUUUUUUUUUUUUGCUGUUUAAUUGGAACUCUUUUAAAGUGGAGCCCAAAGGACCGGUGGAAGCAACUCACCACUGCGACAGCUUCGCUAGUGAGCACCUGGUCGGCAUCCAAAACUACGUAGUAGGCCACGUUGGUCAAGAUGUAGAUGAUGGUGACGAUGGGCAUGGAAAUGGCGAUGCUCAGGGGGAGAUUCCUGCAACAACAAAGAAGGGCUGAGCAGCCAUUUUUCUUUCGGAGAGAUGCUAAACAUUACAAUGAUAUACGCAGGAGAUAAUUUUUUUUAUGUUGUCGUUGUUUUACCUCUCUGGGUUC